Molecule: ribosomal RNA, 444 nt
Filed under: uncultured bacterium
Lineage: Bacteria
Description: partial 16S ribosomal RNA
Rfam family: Bacterial small subunit ribosomal RNA
Source: RNAcentral
CUACGGGACGCUGCAGUGGGGAAUAUUGCACAAUGGGCGCAAGCCUGAUGCAGCAACGCCGCGUGGGGGACGACGGCCUUCGGGUUGUAAACCUCUUUUAGUAGGGAAGAAGCGCAAGUGACGGUACCUACAGAAAAAGCACCGGCUAACUACGUGCCAGCAACCGCGGUAAUACGUAGGGUGCAAGCGUUGUCCGGAAUUAUUGGGCGUAAAGAGCUCGUAGGCGGUUUGUCGCGUCUGCUGUGAAAAUCCGAGGCUCAACCUCGGACCUGCAGUGGGUACGGGCAAACUAGAGUGCGGUAGGGGAGAUUGGAAUUCCUGGUGUAGCGGUGGAAUGCGCAGAUAUCAGGAGGAACACCAAUGGCGAAGGCAGAUCUCUGGGCCGUAACUGACGCUGAGGAGCGAAAGCGUGGGGAGCGAACAGGAUUAGAUACCCCUGUAGUC